UCAGGAUGAACGCUGGCGGCGUGCCUAACACAUGCAAGUCGAGCGGAGAUAAGUGAAGCCUAGCGAUUCUUAUCUUAGCGGCGGAUGGGUGAGUAACACGUGGGUAACCCUGCCCUGCACUGGGGAAUAACAGCUGGAAACGGCUGUUAAUGCCGCAUAUGCGCACGGAGCCGCAUGGCUUUGGGCGGAAAGAUUUAUCGGUGCAGGAUGGGCCCGCGCCGGAUUAACUAGUUGGCGGGGUAACGGCCCACCAAGGUGAUGAUCCGUAGCCGACCUGAGAGGGUGACCGGCCACAUUGGGACUGAGACACGGCCCAAACUCCUACGGGAGGCAGCAGUGGGGGAUAUUGCACAAUGGGGGAAACCCUGAUGCAGCGACGCCGCGUGAAGGAUGAAGUAUUUCGGUAUGUAAACUUCUAUCAGCGGGGAAGAAGAUGACGGUACCCGACUAAGAAGCCCCGGCUAACUACGUGCCAGCCGCCGC
This 483-nucleotide ribosomal RNA is filed under the name uncultured bacterium. RNAcentral's name for it is "bacterial SSU rRNA". It matches the Rfam family "Bacterial small subunit ribosomal RNA", at positions 24 to 518 of the family's 1533-position model. The record is from RNAcentral.